Molecule: ribosomal RNA, 438 nt
Filed under: uncultured bacterium
Lineage: Bacteria
Description: bacterial SSU rRNA
Rfam family: Bacterial small subunit ribosomal RNA
Source: RNAcentral
UGGGGAAUCUUGCGCAAUGGGCGAAAGCCUGACGCAGCGACGCCGCGUGGGGGAAGAAGGCUUUCGGGUUGUAAACCCCUUUCAGGAAGGACGAAGCCACUCGGGUUAAUAGCCCAGAGGGUGACGGUACUUCCAGAAGAAGCCCCGGCUAACUACGUGCCAGCAGCCGCGGUAAUACGUAGGGGGCAAGCGUUGUCCGGAUUUAUUGGGCGUAAAGAGCGUGUAGGCGGUUUGGUAGGUCCGUUGUGAAAACUCGAGGCUCAACCUCGAGACGCCGAUGGAAACCAUCAGACUAGAGUCCGGAAGAGGAGAGUGGAAUUCCUGGUGUAGCGGUGAAAUGCGCAGAUAUCAGGAAGAACACCCGUGGCUAAGGCGGCUCUCUAGUACGGUACUGACGCUGAGACGCGAAAGCGUGGGGAGCGAACAGGAUUAGAUACC